ACUCCUACGGGAGGCAGCAGUGGGGAAUAUUGCACAAUGGGCGCAAGCCUGAUGCAGCAACGCCGUGUGAGUGAAGAAGGUUUUCGGAUCGUAAAACUCUGUCCUAAGGGAAGAAACAAAUGACGGUACCUUAGGAGGAACGCCCCGGCUAACUACGUGCCAGCAGCCGCGGUAAUACGUAGGGGCAAGCGUUAUCCGGAAUCACUGGGCGUAAAGGGUGCGUAGGCGGCUUAGCAAGCCAGGGGUGAAAGGCAUUGGCUCAACCAAUGUAAGCCUUUGGAACUGUUAAGCUUGAGUGCAGGAGAGGUAAGUGGAAUUCCUAGUGUAGAGGUGAAAUUCGUAGAUAUUAGGAGGAACACCAGUGGCGAAGGCGACUUACUGGACUGUAACUGACGCUGAUGCACGAAAGCGUGGGUAGCGAACAGGAUUAGAUACCCUGGUAGACUGUCA
RNAcentral lists this ribosomal RNA (450 nucleotides) under uncultured bacterium. Its description in RNAcentral is "bacterial SSU rRNA". It matches the Rfam family "Bacterial small subunit ribosomal RNA", at positions 335 to 802 of the family's 1533-position model. The record is from RNAcentral.